AAUAAUAGUAGGGGGGG
Molecule: transfer RNA, 17 nt
Filed under: Heptapleurum macrophyllum
Lineage: Eukaryota; Viridiplantae; Streptophyta; Magnoliopsida; Apiales; Araliaceae
Description: Schefflera macrophylla partial tRNA-His
Source: RNAcentral